This 253-nucleotide ribosomal RNA is filed under the name uncultured bacterium. Its description in RNAcentral is "partial 16S ribosomal RNA". It matches the Rfam family "Bacterial small subunit ribosomal RNA", at positions 524 to 776 of the family's 1533-position model. The record is from RNAcentral.
UACGGAGGAUGCGAGCGUUAUCCGGAUUUAUUGGGUUUAAAGGGUGCGUAGGCGGAUUGAUAAGUCAGUGGUGAAAUCCUGCAGCUUAACUGUAGCAUUGCCGUUGAUACUGUCAGUCUUGAGUAUGGUUAAGGUAGGCGGAAUGUGUAAUGUAGCGGUGAAAUGCUUAGAUAUUACACAGAACACCGAUUGCGAAGGCAGCUUACUGAACCAAAACUGACGCUGAGGCACGAAAGCGUGGGGAGCGAACAGG